UGUCGUCAGCUCGUGUCGUGAGAUGUUGGUUAAGUCCGUACGAGCGCAACCCUGUCCUUAGUUACCAGCACGUUAUGGUGGGCACUCUAAGGAGACUGCCGGGUGACAAACCGGAGGAAGGUGGGGAUGACGUCAAGUCAUCAUGGCCCUUACGGCCUGGGCUACACACGUGCUACAAUGGUCGGUACAAAGGGUUGCCAAGCCGCGAGGUGGAGCUAAUCCCAUAAAACCGAUCGUAGUCCGGAUCGCAGUCUGCAACUCGACUGCGUGAAGUCGGAAUCGCUAGUAAUCGUGAAUCAGAAUGUCACGGUGAAUACGUUCCCGGGCCUU
RNAcentral lists this ribosomal RNA (330 nucleotides) under uncultured Pseudomonas sp. Its description in RNAcentral is "bacterial SSU rRNA". It matches the Rfam family "Bacterial small subunit ribosomal RNA", at positions 1050 to 1382 of the family's 1533-position model. The record is from RNAcentral. Lineage: Bacteria; Pseudomonadati; Pseudomonadota; Gammaproteobacteria; Pseudomonadales; Pseudomonadaceae.